This 557-nucleotide ribosomal RNA is filed under the name uncultured Methylobacterium sp. Its description in RNAcentral is "bacterial SSU rRNA". It matches the Rfam family "Bacterial small subunit ribosomal RNA", at positions 102 to 694 of the family's 1533-position model. The record is from RNAcentral. Lineage: Bacteria; Pseudomonadati; Pseudomonadota; Alphaproteobacteria; Hyphomicrobiales; Methylobacteriaceae.
ACGGGUGAGUAACACGUGGGAACGUACCCUUUGGUUCGGAAUAACGCUGGGAAACUAGCGCUAAUACCGGAUACGCCCUUUUGGGGAAAGGCUUGCUGCCGAAGGAUCGGCCCGCGUCUGAUUAGCUAGUUGGUGGGGUAAUGGCCUACCAAGGCGACGAUCAGUAGCUGGUCUGAGAGGAUGAUCAGCCACACUGGGACUGAGACACGGCCCAGACUCCUACGGGAGGCAGCAGUGGGGAAUAUUGGACAAUGGGCGCAAGCCUGAUCCAGCCAUGCCGCGUGAGUGAUGAAGGCCUUAGGGUUGUAAAGCUCUUUUGUCCGGGACGAUAAUGACGGUACCGGAAGAAUAAGCCCCGGCUAACUUCGUGCCAGCAGCCGCGGUAAUACGAAGGGGGCUAGCGUUGCUCGGAAUCACUGGGCGUAAAGGGCGCGUAGGCGGCCAUUCAAGUCGGGGGCGAAAGCCUGUGGCUCAACCACAGAAUUGCCUUCGAUACUGUUUGGCUUGAGUUUGGUAGAGGUUGGUGGAACUGCGAGUGUAGAGGUGAAAUUCGUAGA